Molecule: transfer RNA, 72 nt
Filed under: Camelus bactrianus (Bactrian camel)
Lineage: Eukaryota; Metazoa; Chordata; Mammalia; Artiodactyla; Camelidae
Also listed under: 2 other names
Rfam family: tRNA
About the family: Transfer RNA (tRNA) molecules are approximately 80 nucleotides in length. Their secondary structure includes four short double-helical elements and three loops (D, anti-codon, and T loops). Further hydrogen bonds mediate the characteristic L-shaped molecular structure. tRNAs have two regions of fundamental functional importance: the anti-codon, which is responsible for specific mRNA codon recognition, and the 3' end, to which the tRNAs corresponding amino acid is attached (by aminoacyl-tRNA synthetases). tRNAs cope with the degeneracy of the genetic code in two manners: having more than one tRNA (with a specific anti-codon) for a particular amino acid; and 'wobble' base-pairing, i.e. permitting non-standard base-pairing at the 3rd anti-codon position.
Source: Rfam by way of RNAcentral
GAGGGUAUAGCUCAGUGGUAGAGUGCAUGCUUGGCAUGCACGAGGUCCUGGGUUCCAUCUCCAGUGCCUUCG